UAUUUUGACAGUAUUAAUCAAUUUUUAUUUUUUUUUAUGUAAAGUGAGAAAUUUGAGCAGUUUUAAAUAUUCAUUAUAUAUUUUUGCUAAUAAAAUAUAAUUUAUCUUUUUAAAAAGUUAUUUUUGCUUAAUAUCUAUACAAGGGCAUUGCAAUUUAUAUUACUUAUUUUAUGUUCCAAAGUAAACUAAAUUGCAGGUUUAAUUAAAAAUUAAUUUUAAUUACUUUUAUUUAGGCUUAAUGUUAGUAUGUUCUUUCGUUAUUUCUAGAAAAAAUAUAUGUAUUUAGAGGACAUAGAAAAUAACGUGAUUUAAUUCCGAGUUAAUAAUAAAUUGUGUAUUAUUAUCCUCAUGAUAGUUGAUUGGAGUUAAUUUAAUUUUUUUAAAUAAACUCUUAUUUUGAUUUGAUUUUCAAAUUAAAGUUUUUGAAUGAAUAGGAAUCCUUUUAUAAUUUUAGAGGUUUCUAUACAAAUUUUAUUACAUUUUUUUAUCUCUUUAUUCACUUUUACUUUUUGAUGUUAUUGUUAUUAUUUUAAUGUAAUACAAUUUUAUGUCGUAGAAAAUAUACGAAGAUUCUUAUUUCUAACAUUUUUUAUUGAUUUAUAUGUUUAAUUUUUAUUAACAGAUAUAGUAAUUUUCGGUGUUCUACUAUUUUCUUUUAAAAAGAAAUGAGUUCUUUGAAAAAAAUUAUGAAAAAAGUGCAUUUUGAUACCAUUUGCCAAACUCAAUGUAAGCAUUUUUUGGAUAUGCCAAAAGGCACUAUUCCAUGGGAUCAUGUUGAAGCGUUAGUGACUCAAUUUGAUGGGUCAAUACGAAAGUUCACAUUUGGUAGGAAUAUUGUUCUACCAUUUUCAUGUGAAGAGUUUUCAGUCACAAUAGGACUUAAUUAUAAAGGUCUACACGUAGAUGAUAACAUCCUAUCAACAUUUAAAUUACUUACAAGCUUGUUCAAUGGAAAGGUAAGUAACGUCAAACACAAAAUCAUUAUUGAACAUAUGAGGAGUGUUUUUAAAAAAGAAAGUAGUGAAGGAAACAUUCGAAAAUUUCUUUCUUUGUUUAUUUUGUUUGUGUUUUGUUGUGUUUUAUUUCCAAUUGGAAAUUACUCAAUUACUCCAUUUUUACUUCGGCAUAUUGACAUUUUGGAUUUCAUUGGAAAGUAUGCUUGGGGUAGAGCUGUAUAUGAUUUUUUAGUGAAGUCAAUGACAUACUUCAAAUCUCGAGAAAGAGUCUACUUGGAUGGUUGCAUAGUUGGACUAAUGGGAUGAAUUUAUGAAAGAAUUCUCUCUCUAGCAAAGCUAUGUGAUGUACCUAUUGUUCCCCGAUUCAUGAGGUGGAUCGAGACAAAAUUUAUUGGAGAUGGUGAAAGAAGUUUGAAGUUACCCGAACAAAUUAAGCAAUGGGAUAUUAUUGAAUUCACAGUCAGAAAAGUAGAUGAGUUAUUGAUUAGACCACUGCAACCUGCACAAGAGAUAAUAUUUAUAUUUUAUUUAAUUUACAGUAUAAUGUUUUAAUAUGCAUAUUUUUAUAGGAUGUUUAUGAGGAAUGCAUGAGACUAAGAAAUGAAGUAAUAUAAAAAUAAGGCAUUGAUUGAGAAGCUUCGCACGCUACUACAUGAAUUCGAGGAGAUAUGUUUGGAAGUGAGGAUGAGCGAGUUGAAAAGGUUGGGCCUAGUGAUUCAAAGAAAAUAGCUAUUGAUGAAAUGAAAGUUGUAUUGAUUAUGUGAAAGUUGUUGAGGACGGUGACUAUGAAGAAGUCUAUGAAGAUAAAGAGAAAUUAAAUAGCGAAGAGGAUGACGUCAAAGCUCAUAAUAAAGAGGACACAAUUGAAAGGGCUGAGAAAAAUAAGUGCGCGAAGAACUUGAUUGGAGAGAACUUUGAUAAUAUAUGCAUUUUAGAACACUUGAUAUCAUCCAUUGCCCAAAAUGUUUGUGAUCGAAAUGAUAAAAAAAGAAAAAAAUGUAGUUCAUUUAUGACUCCACCUACCUCUCCUCCGCCAAAUCAAAUAAGAAAGAACAAGAAUAAAACAAUAGUUAACCUCCCUAUUGUGGUAAGUAAGAAUAAUUGUUUUAUUAUAAUAAUAUUUAUUAUUAUUUUUUUACAAGUAAAUAAGAAAUUGAUAUUCUCCUAAGGAAUAUGAUAAGUAUCACAAGAAUCUUAACUUCAAGGGGAGAGAAAUCAUUUCUGAAAAUGGACGUGAGAUUAUUGAUAACUUUCUUUGCAAUGCAAAAUUUAGGUAAGUAAUAUUGUUUUAGUUUUGGUUAUUUUUAAUGAUAUUUUCAAAUACAUUUUAUAGUUUUUAUUUCGUAGGGUCACUAUUUGGAAUUCUGAAGAUCAACAUGUAGUUGGAACAUCCAUUAUUGAUGUUUUGUUCAACCGUUCUACACGUGGUGAGGUUAUUGAUGGAUUUAACGAGAUUAUUUGUAGGGAAGUGCACAAACACUUUAAUAAUCUGGAUCACAUUAUAGGGUAUGUUUCAUCUUUUUUGCGAAAAGCUUUAUGAGUGAGCUACGCACCAAGGGAUUUAAACUGGUUCUGUACCACUAAAUAAUUUUGAUGACUUUCUUGGUUAUUUGUGGGAUCCUGUGAAAAAUGGUUUCAAUAGAAUAGCAUCAGAAAUGUGUCGUGGUUGUCGGUAUAUCCUUAUUUUAGUUUUGACUGGCUUCCAUUGGCACCUUCUUGUUAUUGAUUCUAAGGAAAAAUGUAUUACUCACCGCGACUCUAUGCCUUCUCCAAAAUCCAGGGGUGAUGCAAACACUCUAGUAGACUUUUAUUUUAA
RNA transcript from Andrographis paniculata, 2772 nucleotides. RefSeq lists it as uncharacterized. NCBI's taxonomy places the organism in Eukaryota, Viridiplantae, Streptophyta, Magnoliopsida, Lamiales, Acanthaceae. The record is from RefSeq and is a predicted model, not a curated record. The transcript is spliced from 3 exons.